AGAGGAAUAGCUGGGUCAAAUGGUGAUUCCAUUCCCAGCUUUCCAAGGAAUCUCCAUAUUGCUUUCCAAAUUGGCUGCACCAAUUUGAAGUCCCACCUGCAGU
RNAcentral lists this microRNA precursor (103 nucleotides) under Marmota monax (woodchuck). Lineage: Eukaryota; Metazoa; Chordata; Mammalia; Rodentia; Sciuridae. The record is from RNAcentral.